Oncorhynchus keta (chum salmon) is the source of this 5698-nucleotide long non-coding RNA. RefSeq lists it as uncharacterized. Lineage: Eukaryota; Metazoa; Chordata; Actinopteri; Salmoniformes; Salmonidae. The transcript is spliced from 4 exons. The record is from RefSeq and is a predicted model, not a curated record.
GGUAGUUAUAAACAUGAAUAAACCAAACAGAAGGGUAUAGGUACCGUAGGUAGGUUGUUAUAAACAUAAAUAAACCAAACAGAAGGGUAUAGGUAGCGUAGGUAGGUAGGUAGGUAGUUAUAAACAUAAAUAAACCAAACAGAAGGGUAUAGGUACCUUAGGUAGGUAGAUAGUUAUAAACAUAAAUAAACCAAACAGAAGGGUAUAGGUACCGUAGGUAGGUAGGUAGUUAUAAACCUAAAUACACCAAACAGAAGGGUAUAGGUAGCGUAGGUAGGUAGGUAGUUAUAAACAUAAAUACACCAAACAGAAGGGUAUAGGUAUCGUAGGUAGGUAGUUAUAAACAUAAAUACACCAAACAGAAGGGUAUAGGUAUCGUAGGUAGGUAGUUAUAAACAUAAAUAAACCAAACAGAAGGGUAUAGGUAGCGUAGGUAGGUAGUUAUAAACAUAAAUACACCAAACAGAAGGGUAUAGGUACCGUAGGUAGGUAGGUAGUUAUAAACAUAAAUACACCAAACAGAAGGGUAUAGGUACCGUAGGUAGGUAGGUAGUUAUAAACAUAAAUACACCAAACAGAAGGGUAUAGGUACCGUAGGUAGGUAGGUAGUUAUAAACAUAAAUACACCAAACAGAAGGGUAUAGGUACCGUAGGUAGGUAGGUAGUUAUAAACAUAAAUACACCAAACAGAAGGGUAUAGGUACCGUAGGUAGGUAGGUAGUUAUAAACAUAAAUACACCAAACAGAAGGGUAUAGGUACCGUAGGUAGGUAGGUAGUUAUAAACAUAAAUACACCAAACAGAAGGGUAUAGGUACCGUAGGUAGGUAGGUAGUUAUAAACAUAAAUACACCAAACAGAAGGGUAUAGGUACCGUAGGUAGGUAGGUAGUUAUAAACAUAAAUACACCAAACAGAAGGGUAUAGGUACCGUAGGUAGGUAGGUAGUUAUAAACAUAAAUACACCAAACAGAAGGGUAUAGGUACCGUAGGUAGGUAGGUAGUUAUAAACAUAAAUACACCAAACAGAAGGGUAUAGGUACCGUAGGUAGGUAGGUAGUUAUAAACAUAAAUACACCAAACAGAAGGGUAUAGGUACCGUAGGUAGGUAGGUAGUUAUAAACAUAAAUACACCAAACAGAAGGGUAUAGGUACCGUAGGUAGGUAGUUAUAAACAUAAAUACACCAAACAGAAGGGUAUAGGUACCGUAGGUAGGUAGGUAGGUAGUUAUAAACAUAAAUAAACCAAACAGACAGAACUUAAACAUCAUCAAUAAAUAACACGUCAAUAAUAUAUUAAUUCAAUAAUUAAAUACAGACAAUAUAAUGUUUUGAUUGAUCCUCACCACAAACAGAGAGUUUGCUUGGGGGAGUAAAUCUGAAAUGACACCCUAUUCCCUACAUAGUGCACUUCUUCCUGACCAUACUAUUCCCUACAUAGUGCACUUCUUCUGACCAUACUAUUCCCUUGAUAGUGCACCAUUUUAUUUUACCAUAUUAUUCCCUAGAUAGUGGACUACUUCAAACAUACUAUUCCCUAAAUAGUACACUAUGUACUGAAAUGCACUGUCUAGGGAACGGGGAGUCAUUUGAUACGCAGAUCCCUUGAAAUGAUUGGUGAGGAUUCACUUUAGGAUGGUCUCCUUACUAAACUGGGUUAGUCUACUAUUGCUUUAAGUCACUACAGAGUACACCGACAGUAAGGACAUAUAGGCAACUAGAACAUGUGACUUACAGUCAUAUAGGGGUUGGCUGAACAGUCUUCGGUGAGAUAAGUAUGUAUGGGUCUAAUGUUAAAUCCAAGUUGUAUUUUUGUGUAUAUCCAAAAAUCCAUGUUACUAGCAUACUUCUACUGCUACCUCCUUAGUAUAUCGUAAAUAAGCUAUGUCCAAGCCAGAACAGCCCAUAGGGCAGGAGCAUAUCUCCUGUUUCUAUAGCAUGAGGCAGCUUAAUGUGCAAGUACACCCCCUAAACAGGACACUACUUGUGCUGUGCAGUAAUAUAUUGGCCAAGCAUACUUAAAACUAUGUUCACAGGAGGUUGGUGGCCCCUUAAUUGGGGAACGACUGGAGCGGAAUUAGUGGAAUGGUAUCAAAUACAUCAAACACAUUGUUUCCACAUGGUUUCCACAUGGUUUCCUCAUGGUUUCCUCAUGGUUUCCACAUGGUUUCCACAUGGUUUCCUCAUGGUUUCCACAUGGUUUCCACAUGGUUUCCUCAUGGUUUCCUCAUGGUUUCCACAUGGUUUCCACAUGGUUUCCACAUGGUUUCCUCAUGGUUUCCUCAUGGUUUCCACAUGGUUUCCACAUGGUUUCCUCAUGGUUUCCUCAUGGUUUCCACAUGGUUUCCACAUGGUUUCCUCAUGGUGUCCACAUGGUUUCCACAUGGUUUCCACAUGGUUUCCAUGUGUUUGCAAUUCCAUUUGCGCCGUUCCAGCCAUUAUUAUGAGCCAACCUCCACUCAGCAGCCUCCUGUGUUCUAGUAUGGAUAUUGGGACACACAUUGUUUACGGGAUGUGCUAUUUUGCUAUAAGGGUCUAUAGCUCUUGUCAAGAAUUAGGUCACUAGGGUUUUGGAGGAGAGCAGAAUUGUUUACUUAAAGAGAUUCUCCAGUACUUUUGUAUACUUUUUAGUCAGUCUUUCUGAAAGUAGCGCUCACAAGUCAAAAGUGGUCCCCUAAAAUGGUGUAGUAUGUCACAUAUGUGCAGAUAUGUGCACCACGUCAUUGCUCUUUCUCUCGUUCUGCUGUGUGUGGAUCUUGCUAGUUGUCACUCAAAUGGUGAGGGGCUGAAGUUCGUUGGCUAGAAUGUGAAUUGCUAUAGGGCUGGCCCACUUGGGGGGAAAUGUAGAGAAAAUGGCACACCACAGCUUCCAGACAAACACUCACUUUCAAACUAGGGACUUUGUGGCUAAUUGAGGUAAAACAGUAAUUCUGCUCAUAGAUUAUGCAUGUAUAAACUACACAUUGACACAUCCAGCCCAAAGCGGGAGGUAAAAAAAAAAAAACACACUUAGUAGUCGCCAAAGUUCCGGAGCAUGUCUUGAAGACAUCUCAGACCCACUCUAUAUACCCUAUCUAGAAUCCAUCAUUAAUUCCAUUCAGAAACACAAUCACCAAGACAGGCUUUCAUCACAUCAUCCAUUUAGUCACAGUAGCACUAUGUUCUUGAUAAUCCUACAAUAUUUGGUUGCCUUUAGGGGAAGAAGUGGAAAAGGGUCCGGUUAACAAAGAACUAAGAUGACUACAACCCAGGUUUUAAAUGGGGCCAUCUCUGAUUCAAUAGAACUAACUAACUAGCUCUGGGCCCGUAGUUAUCAAGCGUCUCAGAGUCGGAGUGCUGAUCUCGGAUCAGGUCCUCUCCAUGUCCAUACAGAUCAGAUUCAUUAUGAUCUAAAAGGCCAAGCUGAUCCCAGAUAUGCAUUCCUGUUCUGAGUGAGCUCCGACUGACAAGGGGCUCUUAGAAAAAGUCUUAAGUAAAAAAUCCAUAUGUAAGAAAUAGUCCAAGAUAAGGGUAAAUGAGAAAAGGCUUAGGAGGGAGGAGAGAGGAGGGGGGUGGGCGGAAUGAUAUUGCUUGUGCUCGUUUUGUCUUAAUCUGCUCUGUCCUUGAAAUAGAAAAGAGGUUACAUUCCAAUAAUAAUACUAUGAAUUAGUAGGGAGAUUAAAGCGUAAGGAGUACAGAGGUCUGGGCUUUCAGGAGCAGUCCUGUGUGCUACAUACGAGGGGAGGGGAUGGAAAGUGGGAGUGGGUUUAAUCAUUGUCCAAACAGGCAGAAUUAUUAGUUCUGUGCGUAGGAAAUAUGUGUGUGCGUGUGCAUGUGUGUGUGUUUGUUUGUGCAGACUUUUUCACUGUCAAGUGCAGUCGACAUUUUGUCGUUUUUUUGCGAUUGGGUGCUCCGGAUUGGGUGCUCCGGAUUGGGUGCUCCGGAUUGGGUGCUCCGGAUUGGGUGCUCCGGAUUGGGUGCUCCGUAUUGGGCGUAUGAUUGCUAUUUUUAUAUAUGGGUGCUGUGUGACUGUGCUGUGGGGGCGUUAGUAUGCAACUCUUUUACCUCUCGCUCCUCAUUCCUUUCUCUAUCCUCUCACCUCAUUAUCUCUCUAUCUCUCUCUCUUUCUUGCUCUUUCCAUCUCUCACACCCCCUCUGCCAGUCUGUCUGUCUCUGUGUAAACUGAGGGUUUUUAGAUCAGGUCAUAUGUCGGUGCUGGCACCUGGUCCAGAGAUGUUAUCAAGUGUUUAUUUAAGGGCCUGAGGGUCUCAGGUUACAGCAGAAGGAACUCUACACCACUGCUAGGCUGACCCACAAGAAUACAACAUUCAGCUACAACCAGUUGAUCAAGACCUUUCCAAAAAUAUUUCUCUUAAGGGACAGACUGGCUCAGGUAUUCCAAACACACCGGAUAGUUAUCUAUCAGCGGGUUAACUUUAUACUCUCUUUCCUGGAGGGUUAUCUGACCAUCUCUUGACUGAUAUUGAUAUUGUUUUUGAUGAGCCAAUGAAAGCGUCAGUAACUGGAUGUUGGAUGGAAAAAGGCUCCUAUAAUAAUAAUAAUAAUAAUAUAUGCCAUUUAGCAGACGCUUUUAUCCAAAGCCUAUGUACUCUGUAUGUACUCUGUUGAGUUUCUAAUGGUUAUGUAAGUACAACUGAGUUUCCUGUCCGCCGGUCCAUCAUCUCAGCGCGUCCUCUCAUGAGGUCAGAGCCACUGAGUCCAGCGAUCGGAUGUCUGGGCUACAUCGGAAAGAGAAUGGAAAAGAAAGGAAGAGAGAUACAGAGCCCUUUAAAACGAACUAAUUACAGCUGUCUAAAACAUGAGCUAGUAACUCUGCCUUUCUUAUUGAGGGUACCACAAAAACACACACACACACACACACAUGCACGCACGCACAUACACACACACAGAGAGAGAGAGAGAGAGAGAGAGAGAGAGAGAGAGAGAGAGAGAGAGAGAGAGAGAGAGAGAGAGAGAGAGAGAGAGAUGUUAAAUGAAUGAAAGAGAGCUGGAAAUAUAGUAUGUGUUUUUUUACAUGCUGUGUGUGGUUCAGUUGUGUUUGUUCGGUCAGAGGACUUUGUUCCCUGUUUUCAAGGGAACAGUUUUCCUCUCUCUUGGGGGUUGGGGGGCAUGGGGAUGUGCGGCUGUGCAGUGGGAGUGGGGGGAUGGGCUGCGUUUGGGAGGGAGGAUGCAGGGGGAUUCAUCAGGAUAUCUGCAAAGGUGGUGGUGACUGGGGUUAUUGGUCAUGCCAGAUUAUAAAUGGUUUUAACAUAUUAUCUCUUCUCCUCUCCUUUCUUCUCCUCUCCUUCCCUCUCCUCUCUUAUCCUCCCUUCCCAUCUGCUCUCUUCUCCUCUCCUUCCCUCUCCUUUCUUGUCCUCUCCUCUCCUCCCCUCUCCCUCUCUCACAGUGAAGAUAUUGGUUGGUUUUAUAAUUUGCGAUGACACAAUUCCUAACUUCAUCUCUCCUCUUCCUCAACGUCUCCACCCUCACACCACCCGUCCUCCUCCAUCACUAUUUAUCUGUUCUGCAGAAAGUUUUUUUUCUUUUUUUUCUUCUUUUUUUUCUUUCUUUCUUCUCCUUCUGUCACUACUUCUUGUUCUUCUUGAAGCGUCUGAACUGGUUCUGGAUGGCGAGCGCUGCUUUCUCCGUCUCUGGCGCUUCCAAGUCGAUGUCCACUUCCUCUUCCUCCUCCCCAGUCGCUGGGGCCUUGGAGUCAACCGCC